GACGAACGCUGGCGGCGUGCUUAACACAUGCAAGUCGAACGGAAAGGCCCUGCUUUUGUGGGGUGCUCGAGUGGCGAACGGGUGAGUAACACGUGAGUAACCUGCCCUUGACUUUGGGAUAACUUCAGGAAACUGGGGCUAAUACCGGAUAGGAGCUCCUGCUGCAUGGUGGGGGUUGGAAAGUUUCGGCGGUUGGGGAUGGACUCGCGGCUUAUCAGCUUGUUGGUGGGGUAGUGGCUUACCAAGGCUUUGACGGGUAGCCGGCCUGAGAGGGUGACCGGCCACAUUGGGACUGAGAUACGGCCCAGACUCCUACGGGAGGCAGUGGUGGGGAAUAUUGCACAAUGGGCGGAAGCCUGAUGCAGCAACGCCGCGUGCGGGAUGACGGCCUUCGGGUUGUAAACCGCUUUCGCCUGUGACGAAGCGUGAGUGACGGUAAUGGGUAAAGAAGCACCGGCUAACUACGUG
RNAcentral lists this ribosomal RNA (468 nucleotides) under uncultured bacterium. RNAcentral's name for it is "partial 16S ribosomal RNA". It matches the Rfam family "Bacterial small subunit ribosomal RNA", at positions 28 to 507 of the family's 1533-position model. The record is from RNAcentral.